Small nuclear RNA from Rattus norvegicus (Norway rat), 107 nucleotides. NCBI's taxonomy places the organism in Eukaryota, Metazoa, Chordata, Mammalia, Rodentia, Muridae. The record is from Ensembl.
GUGCUCGCUUUGGCAGCACAUAUAUUAAAAAUGGAACGAUACAGAGAAGAUUAGCAAGGUUCCUGCACAAGGAUGACACACAAAUUUGUAAAUUGGUCCAUAUUUAA